Molecule: ribosomal RNA, 555 nt
Filed under: uncultured Chloroflexota bacterium
Lineage: Bacteria; Bacillati; Chloroflexota
Description: bacterial SSU rRNA
Rfam family: Bacterial small subunit ribosomal RNA
Source: RNAcentral
AGGCAGCAGCAGGGAAUAUUGCGCAAUGGGCGAAAGCCAGACGCAGUGACGCCGCGUGGAGGAUGAAGGCUUUCGAGUUGUAAACUCCUUUUCCGGGGGGCGAGGAAGGACGGUACCCCGGGAACAAGCCCCGGCUAACUACGUGCCAGCAGCCGCGGUAAUACGUAGGGGGCGAGCGUUAUCCGGAUUUACUGGGCGUAAAGAGCUCGUAGGCGGGGCCGCAAGUCAAAUGUGAAAGCUCCCGGCUUAACUGGGAGAGGUCGUUUGAUACUGCGGUUCUUGAGGGCAGGAGAGGGAGGUGGAAUUCCCGGUGGAGCGGUGGAAUGCGUAGAGAUCGGGAGGAACACCAGUGGCGAAGGCGGCCUCCUGGCCUGCGCCUGACGCUGAGGAGCGAAAGCUAGGGGAGCAAACGGGAUUAGAGACCCCGGUAGUCCUAGCCGUAAACGAUGGAUACUAGGUGUUGGGGGUAUUGACCCCCCCAGUGUCGCAGCUAACGCGUUAAGUAUCCCGCCUGGGGACUACGGCCGCAAGGCUAAAACUCAAAGGAAUUGACGG